AACGAACGCUGGCGGCAUGCCUAACACAUGCAAGUCGAACGAGACCUUCGGGUCUAGUGGCGCACGGGUGCGUAACGCGUGGGAACCUGCCCUUAGGUUCGGAAUAACUCCCCGAAAGGGGUGCUAAUACCGGAUAAUGUCUUCGGACCAAAGAUUUAUCGCCUUUGGAUGGGCCCGCGUUGGAUUAGCUAGUUGGUAGGGUAAAAGCCUACCAAGGCGACGAUCCAUAGCUGGUCUGAGAGGAUGAUCAGCCACACUGGGACUGAGACACGGCCCAGACUCCUACGGGAGGGAGGAGUGGGGAAUAUUGGACAAGGGGCGAAAGCCUGAUCCAGCAAUGCCGGGUGAGUGAUGAAGGCCGUAGGGUUGUAAAGCUCUUUUACCCGGGAUGAUAAUGACAGUACCGGGAGAAUAAGCUCCGGCUAACUCCGUG
Molecule: ribosomal RNA, 433 nt
Filed under: uncultured bacterium
Lineage: Bacteria
Description: partial 16S ribosomal RNA
Rfam family: Bacterial small subunit ribosomal RNA
Source: RNAcentral